RNAcentral lists this transfer RNA (58 nucleotides) under Dictyocaulus eckerti (red deer lungworm). RNAcentral describes it as "tRNA-Ser". The record is from RNAcentral. Lineage: Eukaryota; Metazoa; Nematoda; Chromadorea; Rhabditida; Metastrongylidae.
AACAAGGUUUUUUAAGGUCUUCUAAAUCUUAUUGGAAUUUUUUUUUAUUCACUUGUUU